GCUGGGAUAGCUCAAUUGGCAGAGCAGCGGUAUCGUAAACCGCAGAUUCCGGGUUCGAUUCCCGGUCCCAGCUCAA
Molecule: transfer RNA, 76 nt
Filed under: Candidatus Roizmanbacteria bacterium CG2_30_33_16
Lineage: Bacteria; Candidatus Roizmaniibacteriota
Also listed under: 3 other names
Description: tRNA-Thr
Rfam family: tRNA
About the family: Transfer RNA (tRNA) molecules are approximately 80 nucleotides in length. Their secondary structure includes four short double-helical elements and three loops (D, anti-codon, and T loops).
Source: RNAcentral